Molecule: ribosomal RNA, 1479 nt
Filed under: uncultured Bordetella sp.
Lineage: Bacteria; Pseudomonadati; Pseudomonadota; Betaproteobacteria; Burkholderiales; Alcaligenaceae
Description: partial 16S-23S ribosomal RNA intergenic spacer
Rfam family: Bacterial small subunit ribosomal RNA
Source: RNAcentral
GGGUUCGAUUCUGGCUCAGAUUGAACGCUGGCGGGAUGCUUUACACAUGCAAGUCGAACGGCAGCACGGACUUCGGUCUGGUGGCGAGCGGCGAACGGGUGAGUAAUGUAUCGGAACGUGCCUGGUAGCGGGGAUAACUACGCGAAAACGCGGUAGCUACCGCAGCUGGCCCUUCGGGGGAAAGCGGGGACCUUCGGGCCUCGCACUAUUAGAGCGGCCGAUAUCGGAUUAGCUAGUUGGUGGGGUAACGGCUCACCAAGGCGACGAUCCGUAGCUGGUUUGAGAGGACGACCAGCCACACUGGGACUGGAGACAGCCCAGACUCCUACGGGAGGCAGCAGUGGGGAAUUUUGGACAAUGGGGGAAACCCCGAUCCAGCCAUCCCGCGUGUGCGAUGAAGGCCUUCGGGUUGUAAAGCACUUUUGGCAGGAAAGAAACGCACGGGAUAAUACCCCGUGCAACUGACGGUACCUGCAGAAUAAGCACCGGCUAACCAUGUGCCAGCAGCCGCGGCAAUACGUAGGGUGCAAGCGUUAAUCGGAAUUACUGGGCGUAAAGCGUGCGCAGGCGGUUCGGAAAGAAAGAUGUGAAAUCCCAGAGCUUAACUUUGGAACUGCAUUUUUAACUACCGAGCUAGAGUGUGUCAGAGGGAGGUGGAAUUCCGCGUGUAGCAGUGAAAUGCGUAGAUAUGCGGAGGAACACCGAUGGCGAAGGCAGCCCUUCCUGAUAACACUGACGCUCAUGCACGAAAGCGUGGGGAGCAAACAGGAUUAGAUACCUUGGUAGUCCACGCCCUAAACGAUGUCAACUAGCUGUUGGGGCCUUCGGGCCUUGGUAGCGCAGCUAACGCGUGAAGUUGACCGCCUGGGGAGUACGGUCGCAAGAUUAAAAACCAGCGAAUUCGAUUGGACCAGCAAGCGGUGGAUGAUGUGGAUUAAUUCGAUGCAACGCGAAAACCUUACCUACCCUUGACAUGUCUGGAAUCCCGAAGAGAUUUGGGAGUGCUCGCAAGAGAACCGGAACACAGGUGCUGCAUGGCUGUCGUCAGCUCGUGUCGUGAGAUGUUGGGUUAAGUCCCGCAACGAGCGGCAACCCUGUCAUUAGUUGCUACGAAAGGGCACUCCAUCGAGACUGCCGGUGACAAACCGGAGGAAGGUGGGGAUGACGUCAAAGUCCCUGCGGCCCUUAUGGGUAGGGCUUCACACGUCAUACAAUGGUCGGGGCAGAGGGUCGCCAACCCGCGAGGGGGAGCCAUCUCAGAAACCCGAUCGUAGUCCGAUCGCAGUCUGCAACUCGACUGCGUGAAGUUGGAAUCGCUAGUAAUCGCGGAUCAGCAUGUCGCGGUGAAUAUUCCCGGGUCUUGUACACACCGCCCGUCACACCAUGGGAGUGGGUUUUACCAGAAGUAGUUAGCCUAACCUCGUAAGGAGGGAUUACCACGGUAGGAUUCAUGAUCAGGGUGAAGUCGUAACAAGGUAA